GGGAAGCUUGUUGAGUUAGAGUGU
RNAcentral lists this non-coding RNA (24 nucleotides) under Mus musculus (house mouse). Lineage: Eukaryota; Metazoa; Chordata; Mammalia; Rodentia; Muridae. The record is from RNAcentral.